RNAcentral lists this small nucleolar RNA (107 nucleotides) under Gossypium hirsutum (cotton). RNAcentral describes it as "Plant small nucleolar RNA R71". It matches the Rfam family "Plant small nucleolar RNA R71". From Rfam's summary of the family: R71 is a member of the C/D box family of snoRNAs containing the C (UGAUGA) and D (CUGA) box motifs. Multiple nearly identical copies of this snoRNA have been identified in Arabidopsis, and it is thought to function as a 2'-O-ribose methylation guide for 18S ribosomal RNA. The record is from Rfam by way of RNAcentral. Lineage: Eukaryota; Viridiplantae; Streptophyta; Magnoliopsida; Malvales; Malvaceae.
AACCCAUGAUGAGGGCAACUUCGCAAUAAAUCCUUGUUUCUCUCCCAUACAUCAUAAAGAGUUUCUAGAUCCAUCUACACAAAAGAAGAAAUAUCAUUCCUCAAUUU